This 468-nucleotide ribosomal RNA is filed under the name uncultured bacterium. RNAcentral's name for it is "partial 16S ribosomal RNA". It matches the Rfam family "Bacterial small subunit ribosomal RNA", at positions 28 to 507 of the family's 1533-position model. The record is from RNAcentral.
GACGAGCGCUGGCGGCGUGCUUAACACAUGCCAGUCGAACGGAAAAGCCCUGCUUUUGUGGGGUGCUCGAGUGGCGAACGGGUGAGUAACACGUGAGUAACCUGCCCUUGACUUUGGGAUAACUUCAGGAAACUGGGGCUAAUACCGGAUAGGAGCUCCUGCUGCAUGGUGGGGGUUGGAAAGUUUCGGCGGUUGGGGAUGGACUCGCGGCUUAUCAGCUUGUUGGUGGGGUAGUGGCUUACCAAGGCUUUGACGGGUAGCCGGCCUGAGAGGGUGACCGGCCACAUUGGGACUGAGAUACGGCCCAGACUCCUACGGGAGGCAGCAGUGGGGAAUAUUGCACAAUGGGCGGAAGCCUGAUGCAGCAACGCCGCGUGCGGGAUGACGGCCUUCGGGUUGUAAACCGCUUUCGCCUGUGACGAAGCGUGAGUGACGGUAAUGGGUAAAGAAGCACCGGCUAACUACGUG